UAUUUAUAUAAUCUUGUUGGGCUAUUCUGUAUCUUUCUUUUGGGAAAUUGGUAGCUAUUGCUAGUAAAGGUGGUUCAAUUUAAAUCUGUCUUAUAAAAGAGUAAACAUCAUAUACCAAGGACAGUAGUCCAAGAACAAUUUAAAUGAAACCCAUGACAGAAAUAUAAAGAAAAGUUUUUAAGUAAUCAUUCUUUUAUUUUACUUGCAGUAGAAUUUGAAAUUCACGUGUUACUGAAAGUCAUAUAUAAGAUUACCUCAAAGCGUUUAAAUUUUCAUUACAUUAAGUAGCAUCAAGCUCUCCUUCAACUCAUCCAUCCUCACUUCCUUCCUUCUACAACCCUUUCUAAGGUACUGAGAUGAAGAGUGAGUCUUUUCCUCAUGAAUUCUCUACCCUCUUCUCCUGUCCAGCAUGAGCUGUGAUGGGACCAGAAAGUAUUUGCAUUUAGCACCAAAAGGAAGAGACUAAUUUACUAGAUAACUCCAAAAAAGUAAAGCUGUGGCUUGGAUAAAUAAACAACUACAAUAUAUGAAUAUAACUGCUUUAAUGGAGACAUGUGCAAAGGUAUUGAAAGCUUAGACAAGGAAACAUCUAAACCUAACGGGGUCGUUCCUACGUUCAAAGAGAGCAAGUUGUGCAAGGGUGUGGAUCACUGGGGGUCCUCUUAGAAUCCUGCCUACCGUCCUGUUCCAUAAACUCCUAACCUUGGAUCAGUCUGUGCAGCUACCCACAUCCACUGCUCUUCUGCUGAGCACUGGUGAAUAAGAUCAUACAGAGUGAAGUAAGUCAGAAAGAGAAAGACAAAUCCCGUAUGCUAACACAUAUAUAUGGAAUCUAAAAAAAAAAAAAUGUCAUGAAGAACCUAGGGGUAAGACAGGAAUAAAGACACAGACCUACUAGAGAAUGGACUUGAGGACAUGGGGAAGGGGAAGGGGAAGGUGGGACGAAGUGAGAGUGGCACGGACAUAUAUACACUACCAAGUGUAAAAUAGCUAGCUAGUGGGAAGCAGCCACAUAGCACAGGGAGAUCAGCUCCAUGCUUUGUGACCACCUAGAGGGGUGGGAUAGGGAGGGUGGGAGGGAGACGCAAGAGGGAGGAGAUAUGGGGACAUAAGUAUACGUAUAGCUGAUUCACUUUGUUAUACAGCAGAAACUAACACAACAUUGUAAAGCAAUCAUACUCCAACAAAGAUGUUAAAAAAUUAAAAAUAAAAUUUAAAAAAAGAUUAUAUGAUUUGUUGCUACACAGAUAUAUAAUCUUGAACUUCAGUAGAUCUUUCAGCAAUGCUUUAGCAUGACCUUCCGUAACAGUUUAUGUGUCCCCCAAAGCUAUUCUAUGUCUUGUCACCAAGCCCCUGUUAUAAGCUGCCCAUCUCCCCACUACCCCCAAGAACUUGACCUUUUCUUCAACUUUCCAAAGUAAGGCUGUUAGUCACAAAUUUGGAUGAACUUAUCCAAAUAUACCUUCUUUCACUUUCCUUUGUCUUAGUAUUAGAGGAAAUGAUUUUUCUUCUGUCCAAGGCUGAUUCCAGCACCUGUGUCUGUGAUUGGAAAGAACUUUUUUUUCUUCCAAAAACUUCUUUCAUUAUAUACUACAUUUUUAAACCUCUUCUUUUCCAUUUUUUUCUGUUCUCUCUCCCUCUCAUACUUUGAAAGCCUAACUCGUAGAAAGAGUGGAUUAUACUAUACCCACUUAACUUCCCCACAUCCCACUUCUUCAGUACCCACCUAUGACACUAUAAUCCAGAUUCUUCCCACACCGCUUCCUGGACACUUCUCUGGAAAAGGUCACCAGUACCUAGAAAUAAUAGCAAAGGAAGAAAAACAAAUUAACUGUCAACUUUAGGAGAAACAAAAAGAAAAAUUCAGCAGCACAAAGUAUUCAUGUAGUCAUAAUAUCUGUAUUCACAACUGAUUAAUUAAAAAUGGUGUUAUAACUGGAAAUAGGGGUUUGAGAGUUCUAAAAGAGCUAAAUUUACAAUAAUAGAAAGUCAGUUAUUAAUGUCUAAAAUAAUCACAAAAUAUCAGUAUAACCAUAUUCUGUAGAAAUACAUCAUUAAAUACCAAACGAAAAGGCAGAAAGAGUUGGCAGUGGUUUCUCUGAACAGAGCUUAGGGGUCAGGAUAGAUGAAACAAACACUUUUUGUUUAUUUGUUUUGUUUUAACUGUGUAUAUGCAUUUGAUUUUCUAAAAAAUAGUUUUCUGUAAAGAAAAAGUGUACAAUCCAUAGCAGAGGAGAAAUUUAUCAGUCAAGUUGUCAGGGAACUGCAGUAAAUAGUUAGUUGCUAGUUGGUGAUUAAUCCACAUGUCAUUUACAAAUAGCAGUAAGUGUCCAUUCCCCCAGCAAAAAUGGAAUCUGACCUGCCAAAGAGCAUUACUGUCUAUGAGCUUGAGAAAUGUUCCGGGAAGAGCAUAGACAAAAUAAGAGCAUAUUAAUAUAGAGGCUGUUUAUUCCCAGGUUUAGUAAGGAGAAUACGUAGAAGUGUUGGAGGGAACCAGGAAAUGUGCUCUUUCCACGUGAGCCCUUUGUCCUUUGUGGUAUGGUGCGCUGAGCACCUUGGGCAAAUAACCUAGCAUCUGAGCCUCAAUCAUUCCUGCAGCUGGAACAUGAGAAUAACCUUGUAAGGUUUUUGUGAGGAUGGGAAAUAAUACAUACAUGUCAUGUGUCUGAAGAGUGCUUGGCACAUACCUGUACUCAAUAUGAUGAAAAAAUAGAUAGCAUUAAUAAUAAUAUUAGUAUCAUUCCCUAUGAUUGUGGGCUUUUACUGGUUUAUUUCCCACAGUGUCUCUCUCGAUUUCCUUGAUGUUUACAGUUAGUUUUUAAGCAGAAUACCGGCCAGAUGACCGGGCACACAGCUAAUGAUAACUCCUAUUGAAAAGGUAUCACCAGAUAGACUAUUAGAAGCCCAAGUUGUAGCUGGAACAGUAUGGGGUGGGCCAGGCAGGGUGAGGCACAGUGCAAGAAUGGAACGUUUCAACUGUGCCAUGACUUAUAUAUCUCCAGUGUUGUUGUUGAAUUUGUUCUCAGCCAGAAUCCAGAAUCCCAUGGAAGGAAUGGGAUCAAGGGACCUUCAGCUGAUGCUUUAGAAUUCACAUCAAGGGCCUUGUGUGACUGUUGCUCGAGACACAGCCAGAGGAUAUAAUAUUCUUGUAUUUUUAAUGUUUUUUAAAACUCCAGCAAUCAAAAGGUCAUCAUUUGUUGUAAUGAUGCUGUAAUUAAGUUGUGGUAAGUGAUAGCAUUUGUAGAUUUUAUAACCAGAAUCGAUUCAUAAAAUGAAUACAGUCCCAGCAGUUUAUGUUAACAUAAUUAAAUGGAAAUGUAAUUCUAACUGAGUUUGCUUAUGAAACUGAAAAUUACUGGGUUAUGAGCACUUUUACAUUUCUGUCAAAAUUGGUGUAAGUCUAGGAUUACAUGAAAUAUCCAUUAAAAUACAGCAUAUUUUAAGGCUCUGUUGCUGGUGGCAUAUACGUUUCUUACAGCACAUGCAGACUGAUCACGUGAGAGCAUGUGCUUUUAGUGAGUUUCCUGCUAACUCCUUUUCUCUUUCCU
This is a long non-coding RNA of Orcinus orca (killer whale), 3548 nucleotides long. RefSeq lists it as uncharacterized. Lineage: Eukaryota; Metazoa; Chordata; Mammalia; Artiodactyla; Delphinidae. The record is from RefSeq and is a predicted model, not a curated record. The transcript has 3 exons.